Molecule: long non-coding RNA, 2115 nt
Organism: Lagenorhynchus albirostris (white-beaked dolphin)
Lineage: Eukaryota; Metazoa; Chordata; Mammalia; Artiodactyla; Delphinidae
Exons: 2
Source: RefSeq, a predicted model, not a curated record
GGCCUCUCACUGUUGUGGCCUCUCCUGUUGCAGAGCACAGGCUCUGGACACGCAGGCUCAGCGGCCAUGGCUCACGAGCCUAGCCGGUCCACGGCAUGUGGGAUCUUCCUGGACCGGGGCAUGAACCUGCAUCCCCUGCAUCGGCAGGCAGACUCUCCACCACUGCGCCACCAGGGAAGCCCGGGCGCCCAGGUGUUCAAUCAGCUGCUCUGCACUGGACACCCCCAGCAAGACCGAGCUGACACCCUCACUGCGGAGACACCACGCUGGGCCAGAGAAGGAAAUAAAAAAGAACUGGUCGGAAAGAGUGAGCACGCAGACUUCAGAGGUGUCUCCGAGGAAGAGGGUCCUCCCCAGAGACAAACCAGUCUGCGGUUUGGUAGCAUCUCAGGAGGAGACAAGGCCUCUUCAGGGUCCAGGACUGGCAGUGUCUCACCAAUAGCAAGCUGCGCCACGGUGCAGCCCAGCUGGUGAGCGAUGGGGAGAAGGUCCAUGACUUUGGCUUGUUGCUUCUUGCCAUCCUCACUCUGCACUUUGUCUUUGUGCCACUGGUAGCCCUGGAGGCCAAGGAGAAUCAGCAAAAGACGACUCCUCAGAUAGUCCACUCCUGCCGUCCUGAGCCCCCAGAUCUCACCUUGAUGUUGACCCUGCAGGUAUCUGGGACUCGCCCAUCAUACUUGCUAGUGAUGAGGCCACAGGCAAGAGGGGACCAGGUGACUGAGCCAACACCUAAGAGGAAGAGGAUUGGAUGUGGGAAAGGGAUCUAGGUGAUGGUGAGGCCGAGGGAAAGGUAGGGAUGAGGGGACUUCGAACCAAUCUUGUGGUAGAGCUCUGGCAGCUGCAUCUCCACCUUCUCUCUCUGAAACAGAUGGUGCUCAGCUUGUUCACACACUGGAGGAAUCAGGUUGAACUGUCUGGCCAUGGAGUAGGCCUCCUGAGUUGGGGUGGGGAAAAGAUGGGGGUCAGAGCACUCCUUCCAUUUUCUUCCACUCCCCCCCCUCCAGUAGAGUGGGGUUUGGAGUGGCCAUGUGAAAAGUGGGAACAAGUUGUAGGACGGCGAGGUGGGUGGCACACUCACCAUGAUUUCUGCAGCCCCCCAUCGGGAUGUCCCCCAGUAUAGGGCCAGGCCCUGGUUGAUGACAUAGGUCAUGGCUCGCACAAUCUCUAGGCACAUAGGAGAGGGAGAGCCUCACUGUCAGACCCCUGGCAUCCUGGGUUCCAGAUGUGCAGACCUCUGCCUGCCCCACCAAGGCCCCACUCAUCCCUGUGGAGUCAGAGGGGUUGGUAUCUGCUUUUCACCUCCCUCCCCGUCCAAGUCCUGGGGUCUGAGCCUCUGCUGUGGAGCUUGGGAGGCCUCCUGAGCAGGGGCUGGCUUCUGCUGAGGGUUUUAGAAGUGCUCAGUUUUGAAGGGCUGUCAGGGUUGGGGUGCUGCUUUUACCCUCCAUGGGACUGUUGGGGUCUGAGCGAUUGGCGAAGAUGAUGUCCACAUAUCCCAGCUGGAGGCGUUCCAGGGAUCCUCGCAAGCCUGGGGUAAAAGCAUGGGGCGAGGAAGGUAAGCUCUUCAGCUUCAGUUUCCUAAGAAUUUAGACCUUAUCCUUUUGCCAUGGCCACCUAAAUCCCGGCUUCCCUAUUCAAAGCCUCAGACUCAGAGCUUCAGAGAAUGUUCCCAACUCCUCUGGCUUCCAUACCCAGCCACCUCCAGUUCCCAGCCCCUAACUCUUACCCUCAAUGAUGUGUUUGCGGCUCAAGCCUCGCUCAGUUUCUGCCCUGUAGGAAAAGGUAAGUCAGAGAUGAGGUGUGUCAAAGAUAAGGGACCAGGGCUGGCCUGGAAUCAUGAGGAACUGGUAUUUCAGGGGUCCUCACAGGCAGGAUGCAGACCUGGGGUAGCAGGUGCAGGGACUGCUGUCCCCACCCCCAUCCCAUGCACCUUCACACAGUCUCUGCAGAUCUCCCCAAUUAUAGUGAGGCAGCCACUUACUGUCCUCCCCCAAAAAUCUUGGUGGUGAUGACAUAGCUUGAUCUCCUGGAAGAAAGAGAAAUGGUAGAACGGGCAAGAAAAGGAUUUUUGGAUGAUCAUGUCCCCAGCAACCUCCCGGCCCUCCCCACCCACCCAAC